CUUCUUAUUUUCCCUCACUUAGUUGUUUUCUCUCCUCCUAACUUCCCUUCUUUUCUUUUUCUCACCUUCUAUUACUCCUCUCUCCAACUAAGGACAACCACCAUGGCCACCACUACCUAACAACCCCAGUAAGGGGCCUAAAGAUCCUAAACAGCCCACCUCUUUCCCCGUUUUGUGAUUCGGAUCUCAAAACCAAAUUGAAGCCUGACUAAACACCUCUAUCAAACCCAAAACAAACUUGAAAGGAAUGUUACCUCCUGCGGCUCAAUGGAGUUUAGAUGUUAGGGGAAGACGAUGAUGUUUUUCGGACGGGAAAGCCUCUGCUACUGCCGUUGUUGUGGUAAAUGAGACAUGGCCAGGGCGGCACACGAGCCUGGUGCUUCAGGUACAAUAGGGAACGAUUGGGACGUACAUGCGUAUAAGCUUGGGCAAGAGCUAGAGCGACGAGCGUGCCCUCCAAAUGCGAGAUCUGACCGUCCGAGAAGAUGGGGAGUCUUCAGUGUACGAGCUUGGGACUUUCAAAAUGUUGUGGGCUGUUAGAUCUUGGAACUAGAUCCAACGACCAAAAAUCGGCUGCGCAUGGAUCCUUAGGGCUUAGAAAACCCUAAACUUUGUACCAUUUAUUCUGAACCAUUAGAUAAAACCAAAAUCUGACGUGUUACAUUGUGCGGCAAUGCCAGUAGAUUGAUCUUAGGGUUAGACUUAAUUUUGCCCAUCUCGACCGUUGGAUACUUCUCCUAUUUGAGGGCUAGCGUUCGGUGGUGUUGUAGGCUUGAUACAGAUAGGGUUUCCCAACCCUAAUCUUCCGGGCUGUUAUUCGGGCCAUUGGCUGCUAAUUGGCCUGUUUAGUAAUUACUUUGGGCCUAUAAAUUAAACAUUUAAUUAGUGUUCUA
Molecule: long non-coding RNA, 893 nt
Organism: Hibiscus syriacus
Lineage: Eukaryota; Viridiplantae; Streptophyta; Magnoliopsida; Malvales; Malvaceae
Exons: 2
Source: RefSeq, a predicted model, not a curated record